Molecule: long non-coding RNA, 1356 nt
Organism: Salvia splendens (bonfire salvia)
Lineage: Eukaryota; Viridiplantae; Streptophyta; Magnoliopsida; Lamiales; Lamiaceae
Exons: 2
Source: RefSeq, a predicted model, not a curated record
UCGUUCGCUUAAAACUCCUUAACUUGAAUUUUCCUGACUCCACCCUUAACUUGCGGAGAUAGCAUUUUAAACUUUAAUUAGAAUUAGAAUGCAUGCCCCUAAUUAAUCAUAGCCCAAGAACUUAAUUAGAAUUCCGGCUCAAAACUAAAUUAAUUUCAGCCCAAGCUCCCUCGUAAAUUAAUUCCAUCCGACCCAACUGAUCUUCUCCCUUUUUGGUUUAUUUUGGCCUAAGGAUCAAUUAUUUCAGCCCAACAAAUAAUUCUCUGCCCAACUGCCCCUCUCAUUUUCUAAGAACUCGGCCUAAAUAAAUUAUACGAAAGCAGCCCAACUGUCAAAUCUUCUCAGCCCAAGCAUACACCAUUUCCGGCCCAAUAUAAAUUCCUCAAAUUACUCCUCAAGGCCCAACUUCUGUAAAUACUUAGGGUGGCCCAAAUAAAGAUACUGUAUAUGGGAGCAGCCCAAUAUUAAUCCAACUAUUUUAUUUCUCACCUCCCUCUCUAUUAAGAAUCAGUCCUCAACAAAAUUAAAACAUCAACUAUCCCUUCUCUCUCGCUCUCUGCGUGAAUUCGCAGAAUGGGAUUUAAAUCCCAAACUUCUCUCUUUUCCUUCAAACAAAGCUCCCAAAUCAGAAACCUUAAUCCAUGUCUCUCUUCUAUCUCUCUUCUUCACUCUCGGUGGUGCACGCCUAUUGCCUGUAGCCGUCGCUGUUCUACUCCUAUCUCUCAAAUCACUUUUCACUUUCUCUUCCCUAAUUGUAGAAAAUAGGGAAAACCCCCAAAUCGGUCUUCUUUCUCAAUUCUAGUUCUAAUUAGAGAGAAGCAGCGUCUACCAAAUCGGUCUUCUUUCUCAAUUCUAGUUCUAAUUAGAGAGAAGCAGCGUCUACCUUCUUCUCUCUACACUUGCUGCCAAUUGCUUCCCCUCUCACCGCCUGCCUCCUCUGGCGAAACGCUCACCGCCGCCGCUGCCAGACACGGCGGGAGCUCCUGACCGAGCUGCUGCUGCUCGAUGGUUUAGGGGGCUGCCCCUUUUUGGAGUUUUGGUGGAGGUAGAAAUCGAGAAAGAUAAAGUAAGAGAAGAGAAGUGAUUUACUACAUCACUCACUUUGUCUUAUUGCUAAGUUUAGCAAUUGUUUAAGCAUUAGGUUGGGAAUAGCUCUUGACCAAGUCUUAAUUAAGCCUCUAGCUUGAUGUUGGUUCCUUUCAAAGCUUAGAGUAGGAUUAGUUGUUAUUUUGUUCUCAUUGUAGCAAGGGUCCAAGAAAUGUAUCACUCUCUUGUAUUUUCUAUUUUUCCAACAAUUGUAAUUUCAAAACUUAAAUUUCCUUGCACUUUAAUUUCCAAUCGUCUCUUCAUCCUAAA